ACGAGGGAGAAACAAGUGAUGCAGUUUGUUGUGUACUUUUUUAUGUUAAAAAAGAGAUACUUUUCGUAAAAACAGGGCAGCAGAGUCGGAUAGCUUUUAACCUUUUCAGGCCUGAUUUUCAAUAUUGUUUAAGUUAAUGAUGGGAAAAUUACUCUUAUGGCCAUACGAAAAUUACAGGCUUGAUUUGGAAAUGGUUUUGGAGUCAUAAUAUGACGUAUCUGGCCUGAAAGAGUUUAAAUGACUCUUCAUUUACACUGAAAAUACGCCACCCUUUUUUUCCAAGUGCCCAAACACUUGAAUGAUUCAAUUAAACCGCAUCUUAGAUCUAAUUUGUUUGUGUUUCAAUUUCAAUCCAAUCCAUUAUUAAAUUCAAGUGUUUUGGCGAUUGACUUUUUGUUUUGGCCGUCCGGUGUGUUCGUUUUUCGCAGACCGCGUGAGUUCGCUGCCGCCAUGUUCCAGUCCAGUAAAUUGCCUGCUCGGUUUGUAACCGCGAAGCUGAGCAUCGCCACAAGACUGCGUCAUCGGGCUCCGUAUGGCCAGCGGAAGGGCUUGGUCUCCCGGAUUCCCGGAUAGAAGCCAACUUUUGUGAUAAAGUUCCUUUCCGGACCCAUUUGGAAGGAUGCGAAAGAGCUGCAGAUGCCGAACCAGGAAGCGGUGCCAGUGAGAAGCAAGAUUCGGAUGCAGGGGCCAAGCUAUGCGUCAUUCGGAUGGUCAAGGCACAGUUUGAGUCGAUGGAACCACCGCGGUUCCACCAAAGAGAAUUCCGCAUCAACAAGAAGAUUCUCCAGUGGCCUCCAUCUCCGCCGGCACCGGUGUUUCACUCGCCGACGCUGAGGAACCUCCCAGGAAGCAGUGGUGGUGGCGGGACAACCGGAUGAAAAAAAUUACAAAAUUUUUACACACCAAGUUGUUCUUGAAGUUGUUAGAAAAUAAAAGCAGCCAAAAAAUUUAA
Molecule: long non-coding RNA, 952 nt
Organism: Culex pipiens pallens (northern house mosquito)
Lineage: Eukaryota; Metazoa; Arthropoda; Insecta; Diptera; Culicidae
Exons: 3
Source: RefSeq, a predicted model, not a curated record